Long non-coding RNA from Lates calcarifer (barramundi perch), 1776 nucleotides. RefSeq lists it as uncharacterized. The record is from RefSeq and is a predicted model, not a curated record. The transcript is spliced from 11 exons. NCBI's taxonomy places the organism in Eukaryota, Metazoa, Chordata, Actinopteri, Centropomidae.
GAUAAUUUGCACGUCUGUAAAGACAAACCUGGGCUGAGUGCAACUUUAUGUCUCUGACAGCACAACGGUUGCGAUUUUAAGUUGUCAGUUUGGUUUGGAUUUGUUUUUUUGUUAACUUAAGUGGAAAGAGAAAUCUGUGUGUGUCGCUGAUAUCUCAGGCCCAGGCUUAGCGAAACGGGGGCACGACUCAGGCUGGCAGCACACCCAUCAUAACCCACUUUUUUGAUCUUCUGGCCUACAAGGAACAGACCAGAUGACCAGUGGCAGCAGCAGCAGAGACACUGCAGUAAGUGACAGAGCCCAUAAGACAGUGUGACUAAAAACAGGACAAAUAUUUACCCAUAGAGCACAGAGAGGAUUUUUGUUUUAGUGCUGCCAUUUGAAAUGUCCAUCUGGAAUUUCUGCUUUAACAACAAGUGACAAAUCCACAUUUGGGAGCCAUGUAUAAAACACCACCACAUGCAGUAGCUGCUCCUCCAGAGUGGAAAGUUGAUUUAAAAAGAAGCAUUAAAGGAUUUUUGUUCUAUCGCUCUUUUCAAAUCCACCAAACUCCAUUGAAAAAAACAGUGAUUUUACCUCCCAGAACAAGGGAGUUGCUAAAAUUACUGUAUUACUAACUGUCUCAUCUCAGUCCAGGAUCAAGAUGAACAUUGUCAGGUGUCCUCCUGUCACCAUGGAUGCUCAUCUGCAGGCCGGAUCUCAGAUACCAGCUGGGCUUCAGCAGUCCAGAACAGCAUUGUCCCUGAGGAUCCGUGGGAACCAGAUUCAAGACCCUACAUUCACUGUCUCUCCUCCACCUAUGCAACAACUUCCCUUCGUGCACCAGUCAGAGCGACACAUAAAACCUGAGGAAAUACAGGCUGAAUAUUUCAAAGACCAAAGGCUCAGAUGGGGGAAUAAAGCAGAGCUGUAAAUGAGCGUGCACACACUCCCACCAAAAACACCAGCCCAUCCAUCUGGAGCAACUUGUGUAGUAUAAAUACAGCAGGAUAAUAAGAGUAGAUGUGGACGUGGAGGAGACAGGAGACGACGAGGAGUUUAACGACACAGAUUUUUCGGGGCCGCAGCAGCUCGACGGUGACUCCCUGUGGGCGAAAGGCGGUGUCAGUCCUGAGUCACUCAUCCUGUCACAUUAAUGUGACAUGACUCAGUUUAGUAUCGAUACUAACUAAAGGGACUGGGAGCCGUCCAGAAAAGAGGGAAAAACCCCCAACCAAUCAGAAGUGGUUGCUAGGCAGAGCACAGUCAGCCUACCAAUCAGCGAUUUGUGUGCCGACGCUGGCCGACGUGUGACGUCCCUGCCGGUGACGUGUUCCGUCAUUGAACGUGACCUGCGCAGUGGAAGGAAGAGUCGAGCAGAAUGACAGAGAAACAAAGUUGGAAAAACGAGUAAAAACACCGAGUAAAACCAAUGUUUGCGUCGUCGCUUCGUUGCAGUGGUUUGUUACCACUGUGAGAGAUGGUAUUACUGAAGAAGUCUGGAAGCUAAAGCAAGCUUUGGAGUUGUUUUUUUUUGUCUAACACGAGUGAGGCUGGACGCUGGACACACGCGAAGAUGUCACCACUUCGUUCAUGACUGCAGAGACCAGACCAGGAUCCAUGAUAGUGAGGCCUCCAGGUCUAGUCUUUGAACUGCUGCAGCCUGGAGAGAAAUAGCAGCUCUCACCUUACUGACCAAAGAGGUGUCGCCACUUUGUCCACGACUGCAGAGACCAGACCAGGAUCAUGACAGAGCGGCCUCCAGGUGGAUUCUCAGAAACAACUGGUUCACCAAAG